This 482-nucleotide ribosomal RNA is filed under the name uncultured bacterium. RNAcentral describes it as "bacterial SSU rRNA". It matches the Rfam family "Bacterial small subunit ribosomal RNA", at positions 26 to 507 of the family's 1533-position model. The record is from RNAcentral.
CGAGGACGAACGCUGGCGGCGUGCUUAACACAUGCAAGUCGAACGGAACUUAUUGGAUCAAGACUUCGGUCAAGUGAAUUUAAGUUUAGUGGCGGACGGGUGAGUAACGCGUGAGUAACCUGCCUUUCAGAGGGGGAUAACAGUUGGAAACGACUGCUAAUACCGCAUAACGUAUCGGAACCGCAUGAUUCUGAUACCAAAGCUGAGGCGCUGAAAGAUGAGCUCGCGUCCAAUUAGGUAGUUGGUGAGGUAACGGCCCACCAAGCCGACGAUUGGUAGCCGGACUGAGAGGUUGAACGGCCACAUUGGGACUGAGACACGGCCCAAACUCCUACGGGAGGCAGCAGUGGGGAAUAUUGCACAAUGGGCGAAAGCCUGAUGCAGCGACGCCGCGUGAACGAAGAAGUAUUUCGGUAUGUAAAGUUCUAUCAGCAGGGAAGAAAAUGACGGUACCUGACUAAGAAGCACCGGCUAAAUACGUG